ACAAUGCCCCUUUAUUAUAUAUUUUUUUCUUGACCCUACAGGAUGCCCAGUGGUAACCAGCCUUCCAUGUGGCUAAACAGAUGCCAGUGUACCCAAAUUCUGAGACACAAUUGGAUGUUCUUUUCUUCUGCUUUUAAGAUUCCCAAUUCGAGAUGAUGUGCAGUUCAUGUUAGAUUUGCUAUUUCUAGAGUUACAGUGAAGUAGAAGAGUCUGGUUGUGUUAUGGGGCAGCAGUUAAAGAUAAAGGAUGGAGAGAUGUGUGCCAUGUUGAAGUAUCGGCUGGCUCUCCUGCCCGCUCUUCUAGAAUCCUCCAUCUCAGUCUCUGGUCUGAUUUGCUGUGCCUUUGCCAAGUGAUCAGGAGUUUAUUGCAGUGGUGCCCCCUUGCGUCUCCACCGUCUGUUACAUCAACUCCAACUGCCUGUGACAGAAGAAAAGUUCACAAGACGUCCUGAAAUGGAAUUGUGAUUGGAGUGAGACGGCCACAAUCAUGUAUGCUGGUAUGUGCAGAGGGGGCUGUUUGGGCUUUGGCUUGGGACCCCCAGAGGUUUAUUAUCUCCAUUGUCCUUGAAAGCUGCAAGUUUGUCUUUGUCCCCAGCCAUUUGACCAGGCAGUGUAUUUAUUACAAAGGACAAGGACUCCUCCAUUUACUUCUUAUUUACUUUUAUAAUAUCUUCAGUUUUCUUUGUAACUGUAUAUUUUUGUGGAGCUUUUUGAGCAACACUUGUAAGCAAAGGUGAUAUAAAAAUAUUAUCAGUGAACAAAUAUUAAAGGACAGAUAAGGAAAAAUGUCAG
Long non-coding RNA from Erpetoichthys calabaricus (reedfish), 791 nucleotides. RefSeq lists it as uncharacterized. The transcript is spliced from 3 exons. Lineage: Eukaryota; Metazoa; Chordata; Cladistia; Polypteriformes; Polypteridae. The record is from RefSeq and is a predicted model, not a curated record.